UUCUUUCUAGAAACACUUUCCAGUACCUCUACUUUGUUACGACUUAUUCCAAUUUUUAAAUGAAAGUGACGGGCAAUAUGUACAUAUUCCAAUUUUUAAUCAUUUUAUUAAAUUAAAUAAAAUUACAUUUAAAUCCACCUUCAAUUAAAUUUUUCAAAAUAAUAUUCAUUUAUUUAUAUUUAUUGUAAUCCAUUUAUGUCUUAAUUAUAAUCUACAUCUUGAUCUGAAUUAAUUUUAUAUUUAAAUUUUUAAAUAUUAUUUUUUUUUAAAAAUAUUUUUUUAACAACGAUAUAUAAAAUUUUAAAUUAAGUAAAUUUAUUCGUGGAUUAUCAAUUACCAAACAGAUUCCUCUAAAUGAACUAAAAUACCGCCAAAUUAUUUAAGUUUCAAUAAAUUAUUAUCUACUAUUUUAGUAUUUUCAAAUUAAUUUUUUU
Molecule: ribosomal RNA, 434 nt
Filed under: Phoebis agarithe
Lineage: Eukaryota; Metazoa; Arthropoda; Insecta; Lepidoptera; Pieridae
Description: partial small subunit ribosomal RNA
Source: RNAcentral